AUUGAACGCUGGCGGCAUGCUUUACACAUGCAAGUCGAACGGCAGCGCUGGCUUCGGCCUGGCGGCGAGUGGCUUACGGGUGAGUAAUGCAUCGGAACGUGCCCAGUCGUGGGGGAUAGCCCGGCGAAAGCCGGAUUAAUACCGCAUCCGACCUGAGGGUGAAAGCGGGGGACCGAACGGCCUCGCGCUAUUUGCGCGGCCGCUGUCGGAUUCGCUAGUUGGUGGGGUAAAGGCUUACCAAGGCGACGAUCCGUACCUGGUCUGAGAGGACGACCAGCCACACUGGGACUGAGACACGGCCCAGACCCCUACGGGAGGCAGCAGUGGGGAAUUUUGGACAAUGGGGGAAACCCUGAGCCAGCCAUGCCGCGUGCGGGAAGAAGGCCUUCGGGUUGUAAACCGCUUUUGUGCGGGAAGAAAGCCUCUGGGCUAAUACCCCGGGGGGAUGACGGUACCGGAAGAAUAAGCACCGGCUAACUACGU
Molecule: ribosomal RNA, 483 nt
Filed under: uncultured bacterium
Lineage: Bacteria
Description: partial 16S ribosomal RNA
Rfam family: Bacterial small subunit ribosomal RNA
Source: RNAcentral